Molecule: ribosomal RNA, 253 nt
Filed under: uncultured bacterium
Lineage: Bacteria
Description: partial 16S ribosomal RNA
Rfam family: Bacterial small subunit ribosomal RNA
Source: RNAcentral
UACAGAGGUCCCAAGCGUUGUUCGGAUUCACUGGGCGUAAAGGGUGCGUAGGCGGUUGGGUAAGUCCGAUGUGAAAUCUCACAGCUUAACUGUGAAACUGCAUUGGAUACUAUCCGGCUCGAGGAAUGGAGGGGAGACUGGAAUACUUGGUGUAGCAGUGAAAUGCGUAGAUAUCAAGUGGAACACCAGUGGCGAAGGCGAGUCUCUGGACAGUUCCUGACGCUGAGGCACGAAAGCCAGGGGAGCAAACGGG